RNAcentral lists this ribosomal RNA (459 nucleotides) under uncultured bacterium. Its description in RNAcentral is "partial 16S ribosomal RNA". It matches the Rfam family "Bacterial small subunit ribosomal RNA", at positions 338 to 795 of the family's 1533-position model. The record is from RNAcentral.
CCUACGGGUGGCAGCAGUGAGGAAUAUUGGACAAUGGGCGGAAGCCUGAACCAGCCAAGUAGCGUGCGUGAUGAAGGCCCUACGGGUCGUAAACCGUUUUUGCACGGGGAAAACACCCUCCACUUGUGGAGUUCUGCAGGUACCGUGCGAAUAAGGGCCGGCAAAUUCCGUGCCACCAGCCGCGGUAAUCGGGAAGGUCCGAGGGUUAUCCGGAUUGAUGGGGCGUAAGGGGAGCGUAGGGGGGGUUUCAAGGCAACUGUAAAGUCGCGCGGCUCAACCGCGCCCCGCAUUUGAAACUGGACGCCUUGAGUUCACAACAGGCAAGCGGAAUUCGUGGUGUAGCGGUGAAAUGCGUAGAUAUCACGAGGAACCCCAGUUGCGAAGGCAGCCUGCCGGGGUGCGACUGACGCUGAGGCUCGAAAGUGCGGGUAUCAAACAGGAUUAGAUACCCGGGUAGUC